Molecule: small nucleolar RNA, 127 nt
Filed under: Nannospalax galili (Upper Galilee mountains blind mole rat)
Lineage: Eukaryota; Metazoa; Chordata; Mammalia; Rodentia; Spalacidae
Description: Small nucleolar RNA SNORA13 (ENSNGAG00000003608.1)
Rfam family: Small nucleolar RNA SNORA13
About the family: ACA13 is a member of the H/ACA class of snoRNA that guide the sites of modification of uridines to pseudouridines.
Source: RNAcentral
AACUAGAACCCUACACAUUUGUAAGCUAGUGAAUGUGGUGUCAAAAAAGGCAUAAAUUAACACUUUGCAGAUUUUUCCAACCCUUAACUUUUAUAUCUUUGGUGUAGGACAUGCCUAAGGAACAAAC